Molecule: non-coding RNA, 2156 nt
Organism: Myodes glareolus (Bank vole)
Lineage: Eukaryota; Metazoa; Chordata; Mammalia; Rodentia; Cricetidae
Source: RefSeq, a predicted model, not a curated record
CCCGUCUGUGUUCCCGUGGGUCCUGGAAAAAGUCACUUUACCUCCAAAUACAUUUUACUUUUCUCUAAAGUGGAGGUAGCACCACCUGCCCUGCCUCCUGCAGCAGUUGCUGGGAUGGUUAAGUGGGAGGCACAUGUGAAAGAGGAAAGGAAGCGUCACAGAAGGCAGCAUGAGCUCUGUGUCUGCUGCCCUACAGCGCCCAUGCUGUGUCAGAGCAAAGCUUUCAGAAGUGUGUGAGCCAGAGACCAGUGGGGUCAGUUCCUCUCUUUCCUCUGGGGAACUGUGUGCAUCACCAGAAGGGAAUCUCAGCUAAGGGUCCCCGGGGCAUCACUUGUGGUUGUAGAAGUGCAAAGCUGGGGCACCGGAGUCCACUGGCAGGUUAAACCUGGGUCACCGUGACCCGGGACUUCAGGCUGCAAGUCCCAGGUGUGGAGCUCAGUGAGUGGAGGUCUGCCUUUACUCCAUGUACUCUUUGUUCUCAGAGAGUAUGGCCAGCUUCGCCCAAGGCAGCCUGGCAUUGUCUAGUCUCCUCCUCAGCUGGCCUUGGCUCUGCACGCUGGCUUCCCAAGACUCUUCCCUUAAAGCAAUAUUGUAAAUUCUGCUGAGGGCUCCGAGAAGAGGAGGCAAACAAAUGGAUAGGGUCUGGUUAUGGCUAAUGGACAUGCCAUUCAGCAUAGCCAUGCUUCAGUAGGGUGUGCUACCACCAGAGGGUAACAGCUGCUCCGACUCCUGCCUCGAGAAGGUCCCCAAAGUCCCUAGAAACACAGGUCUGUUGGGGCUCAUAUUCGAUUUUUCAGGCCCCCUAUCAGGCACUACCUGGAUAGAAUUUCUUGGUAUCCAGCAGGUGGCACUGCUACCCAGGCCAGUGGCAGCAUGUUGGUCCUUUGUGCAGACUUAGCAGUUACCAGCACCGAGGACACACUGGACCCCUUCCUGCAGCUGUCCUCUUGGGGCGCUGUGCCUUCUGGCUCCAGUAGGCCAUAGGUUAGGGGAGGGGUAACUUCCCUGGCCUGGACAUGCACCCUGGGGCUGUACGAGGUGAAGGUGACAGGUGGGGGAGGCAGGUGGAGAAUUGAGCCUGUGAGCUCAUGACAAAGGCACCCAGUGGGCGGGGUGGGUGCUCUGGCCUAUAAAGACCCUAUGUCCUGUGGCUUGCUAAGGCAGACAUGGAGGGCGCCAUGGAGGGUCCUGAGGCUGUGCAGAGGGCCACAGAGCUCAUCGAGCAGCGGCUUGCCCAGGAGGAAGAAACUGAGAAACUUCGAAGAGUCACCCCUGGGAAGUUGUCCAUGGACAUGCUGGUUCUAGAGGAUGAAAAGCGCCUUGGGAUGCAGAGCCCUGCUUUACAAAAGGUUAAGGGCCAAGAGCGUGUACGCAAGACAUCCCUGGACCUGCGGCGUGAGAUCAUUGACGUGGGUGGGAUCCAGAACCUCAUAGAACUGAGGAAAAAACGCAAGCAGAAGAAGCGAGAUGCACUGGCUGCCGCCCAGGAGCCACCUCCAGAGCCAGAGGAGAUCACCGGCCCUGUGGAUGAGGAGAUGUUCCUGAAGGCUGCAGUAGAAGGGAAAGUGAAAGUCAUUGACAAAUACCUGGCCGAUGGAGGUUCAGCAGACACCUGCGAUGAGUUCCGUCGGACAGCGCUACAUCGAGCCUCCCUGGAGGGUCACAUGGAGAUACUGGAGAAACUUCUGGAGAAUGGGGCCACUGUGGACUUCCAAGAUCGGCUGGACUGCACAGCCAUGCACUGGGCCUGCCGUGGAGGCCACCUGGAGGUGGUGAGGCUCCUGCAAAGCCGAGGAGCCAACACCAAUGUGAGAGACAAGCUCCUGAGCACUCCCCUGCAUGUAGCUGUUCGUACUGGACACGUGGAGAUUGUGGAACACUUUCUUUCCCUGGGCUUGGAUAUCAAUGCCAAAGACAGGGGUCAUGCCAUGUGUGACCCCGACUCUAGGAAGGGGACAGUGCCCUACACGAUGCCGUGAGACUCAACCGCUACAAAAUCAUCAAACUGCUGCUCCUGCAUGGGGCUGACAUGAUGGCUAAGAACCUGGCAGGAAAGACCCCUACAGACCUCGUCCAACUAUGGCAAGCAGACACCCGGCAUGCCCUGGAGCAUCCUGAGCCAGAAUCAGAACAGAACGGACUGGAGAGGCCUGGGA